CCCAAGAGAUCGGGAUAACACCUGGAAACAGAUGCUAAUACCGGAUAACAACAGAUGAUGCCUAUCAACUGUUUAAAAGAUGGUUCUGCUAUCACUCUUGGAUGGACCUGCGGUGCAUUAGCUAGUUGGUAGGGUAACGGCCUACCAAGGCGAUGAUGCAUAGCCGAGUUGAGAGACUGAUCGGCCNCAUUGGGACUGAGACACGGCCCAAACUCCUACGGGAGGCAGCAGCGA
RNAcentral lists this ribosomal RNA (234 nucleotides) under uncultured Lactobacillus sp. Its description in RNAcentral is "partial 16S ribosomal RNA". It matches the Rfam family "Bacterial small subunit ribosomal RNA", at positions 129 to 357 of the family's 1533-position model. Lineage: Bacteria; Bacillati; Bacillota; Bacilli; Lactobacillales; Lactobacillaceae. The record is from RNAcentral.